This 485-nucleotide ribosomal RNA is filed under the name uncultured bacterium. Its description in RNAcentral is "bacterial SSU rRNA". It matches the Rfam family "Bacterial small subunit ribosomal RNA", at positions 8 to 518 of the family's 1533-position model. The record is from RNAcentral.
AGGGUUCGAUUCUGGCUCAGAACGAACGCUGGCGGCAUGGAUUAGGCAUGCAAGUCGAACGAAGCAGCAAUGCUUAGUGGCGCAAGGGUGAGGAACACGUGAGUGACCUGCCCGCAAGUUUGGAACAGCUCCUGGAAACGGGAAUUAAUACCGGAUGUGAUCAUAUUGCUGCAUGGUGAUAUGAUUAAAGCAGUAAUGCGCUUGCGGAUGGGCUCGCGUCCCAUUAGCUAGUUGGUGAGGUAACGGCCCACCAAGGCCAUGAUGGGUAGCUGGUCUGAGAGGACGACCAGCCACACUGGGACUGAGAACUGCCCAGACUCCUACGGGAGGCUGCAGUCGAGAAUUUUGGGCAAUGGACGAAAGUCUGAACCCCAGCAAUGCCGCGUGCGGGAUGAAGGUCUUCGGAUUGUAAACCGCUGUUUGGAGGGACGAAAUUUGACGGUACUUCCAGAGAAAGCCACGGCUAACUACGUGCCAGCCGCUGC